This 500-nucleotide ribosomal RNA is filed under the name uncultured bacterium. RNAcentral's name for it is "partial 16S ribosomal RNA". It matches the Rfam family "Bacterial small subunit ribosomal RNA", at positions 30 to 523 of the family's 1533-position model. The record is from RNAcentral.
AUUGAACGCUGGCGGCAGGCCUAACACAUGCAAGUCGAGCGGAUGACGGGAGCUUGCUCCUUGAUUCAGCGGCGGACGGGUGAGUAAUGCCUAGGAAUCUGCCUGGUAGUGGGGGACAACGUUUCGAAAGGAACGCUAAUACCGCAUACGUUCUACGAGAGAAAGCAGGGGACCUUAGGGCCUUGCGCUAUCAGAUGCGCCUAGGUCGGAUUAGCUAGUUGGUGGGGUAAUGGCGCACCAAGGCGACGAUCCGUAACUGGUCUGAGAGGAUGAUCAGUCACACUGGAACUGAGACACGGUCCAGACUCCUACGGGAGGCAGCAGUGGGGAAUAUUGGACAAUGGGCGAAAGCCUGAUCCAGCCAUGCCGCAUGUGUGAAGAAGGUCUUCGGAUUGUAAAGCACUUUAAGUUGGGAGGAAGGGCAGUAAGUUAAUACCUUGCUGUUUUGACGUUACCGACAGAAUAAGCACCGGCUAACUCUGUGCCAGCAGCCGCGGUAA